GAGGAAAGCUGAGAGGAAAACAGUUUCAAAGUUGUUCCAAGUGGUAACAGAAGAUCGAGCAACUUCCCACCAAUCGCGUGCCGUGCCGUAUAGAACAGUGCGGAAGGUAGCCAAGAUGUCAGUGUCAGCCAGGGGAUGUAAGACCAAAAAGUCUUGACAGCGAGUUAAAUAUAACAGUGGAUCAGUGUCGUCUGAUGGUCUUCCAAAUGUUGAGAAAGUUAACUUCAAAUGAUCACUUUUAACAGCUGGUCUAGGUUGCUGGAUGGAUGCAGCCUCUGAUGGUGGAGAUGAAGAUGGGUCUGUGUGGUGAACUGGUAAUGGAGCUGGGCAUACAGUUGAGUGGUACAAUGACUGAUCUCUUUGGAAAGCUGUUCACCGUCCUUUUGUGAGUUUUCCUGUGUGGCCUGCAUGUCUCUCUGCAAUUCCCGCUGGACUUGCUCCACCAUAAAGCGAACCUCUGAGAUUAAGCUAUCGUGUCCAAGAUUUGCUGAUGGUUAAUUUCAAUUUUUGCGGCCAUUGCUGCAAGCUUUGCAUCAUGCAGGGAAAUGGAUUUUGCAGAUUCUUGGGUGUGGGAAGGUGGCCUGGCAGGCGAUGCUGUGACACUGAGGAAGGUGAUGAAGUUUCAGUGGAGGUGCAAAGUUGCAUAGGGUCCGGUUGGAAUGAGACAACGCCCCCUGGAGGUGCGGAGGCAAAGUGCACCUGAGUCCUGGGAUGGGGACUACUGAACUGAGUGGGCGUGAAGUGGAACGUGGGAACAUGAGGGGGAGGAACUGGUCCUGGAUGCACAAGUGGCCAGACCGGAGUUGCUAUGUCUGGGGGUGCAGGUGGCCAAGAGGGAGUUGCUACGUCUAGGGGUUCAAUUUC
This is a long non-coding RNA of Onychostoma macrolepis, 864 nucleotides long. RefSeq lists it as uncharacterized. The transcript is spliced from 4 exons. NCBI's taxonomy places the organism in Eukaryota, Metazoa, Chordata, Actinopteri, Cypriniformes, Cyprinidae. The record is from RefSeq and is a predicted model, not a curated record.